Long non-coding RNA from Etheostoma cragini (Arkansas darter), 112 nucleotides. RefSeq lists it as uncharacterized. NCBI's taxonomy places the organism in Eukaryota, Metazoa, Chordata, Actinopteri, Perciformes, Percidae. The transcript has 3 exons. The record is from RefSeq and is a predicted model, not a curated record.
UAGCCGAAGCCACGCCCUUCUACUUCCGGUCCAUGGGACCUAUCUUUCAAAAAAAUAUGAAUGGGAGUCAAUGACAGAUGAUAAUUCAUUUUUUUGAUCCCCUUUGAAUUGA